Molecule: transfer RNA, 91 nt
Filed under: Chromobacterium violaceum
Lineage: Bacteria; Pseudomonadati; Pseudomonadota; Betaproteobacteria; Neisseriales; Chromobacteriaceae
Also listed under: 40 other names
Description: tRNA-Ser
Rfam family: tRNA
About the family: Transfer RNA (tRNA) molecules are approximately 80 nucleotides in length. Their secondary structure includes four short double-helical elements and three loops (D, anti-codon, and T loops).
Source: RNAcentral
GGAGAGGUGGAUGAGUGGUUUAAGUCGCACGCCUGGAAAGCGUGUUUAGGGUAAUACCCUAACGGGGGUUCGAAUCCCCCCCUCUCCGCCA